Molecule: ribosomal RNA, 478 nt
Filed under: uncultured bacterium
Lineage: Bacteria
Description: partial 16S ribosomal RNA
Rfam family: Bacterial small subunit ribosomal RNA
Source: RNAcentral
GACGAACGCUGGCGGCGUGCUUAACACAUGCAAGUCGAACGGUAAGGCCCUUCGGGGUACACGAGUGGCGAACGGGUGAGUAACACGUGGGUGAUCUGCCCUGCACUUCGGGAUAAGCCUGGGAAACUGGGUCUAAUACCGGAUAGGACCCUGGGAUGCAUGUCCUGGGGUGGAAAGCUUUUGCGGUGUGGGAUGGGCCCGCGGCCUAUCAGCUUGUUGGUGGGGUAAUGGCCUACCAAGGCGACGACGGGUAGCCGGCCUGAGAGGGUGACCGGCCACACUGGGACUGAGAUACGGCCCAGACUCCUACGGGAGGCAGCAGUGGGGAAUAUUGCACAAUGGGCGCAAGCCUGAUGCAGCGACGCCGCGUGAGGGAUGACGGCCUUCGGGUUGUAAACCUCAUUCAGCACAGACGAAGCGCAAGUGACGGUAUGUGCAGAAGCAGGACCGGCCAACUACGUGCCAGCCGCCGCCGUAA